UUUCCUGUGAAUGUUUAUUAAGGAGAAAAGUAGAUUUACAUAAGCAAGAAAAGAAAACAAAGCCUUGAAAUCAUUUGACAAGAAAUCCACAAGCGACAGCUAAAAUUGAAAAGGAAAUACUUGCAAGUCCAUUUUAAACAUGUAUUACUGUCACAUUCAGAAGCAAAAAAAAGGUAACUACUGUCUUAAGCCAACUCGAACAAGACACCCAUUUAGAAAAUCCCAGUGAGAAGAUUAGCGGCAGUGGAGAUAGCUGCUCCUGUGAUAGCACAUUGCACAAUAUGUUCAUGGGUGGAAUCAUCCAAUGUAAGGGCAAGGGUCGCCCCUGUGAUUGCUCCCGCAACUGCGCUAUUUUUCUGCAUCAAAUAUAGUAAGUUAUGACGUUAUUAUUGUUGUGCAUGUUGUAUUAUCAAUAUAGUGAACACUAGAAAGUAAAGUCAGAUCACAGCACUAUGCUGAAAGCAAUAAAAAAAAAAGGCAAUAAAAAGUGAAACAGAAAAGCGUUUUUUUGUCAUUCACUGAAAUUAGGGAGAGAAUGAAAAUUAUAGAGUUGAAAAUGGUUCACAAGAAUGGAUCAAAACAUCCCAAAAGUAGCUACUGUUUUUCCAGCAAUGAGACAGAUGUGCUGAUCUGCCACACUGGUUCAAAUACUAAAGUAUUGAAGUUGAGAUGUGAAAUAUGAAAACAAUUAAUAAAAAUAACCAGGAGAGAAAAAAGGUGCUACCCAGUCAUGAGCUCCACGAGCUUCCUUCAAC
This 755-nucleotide long non-coding RNA is filed under the name Vigna radiata. RNAcentral's name for it is "long non-coding RNA (VRAD_LNC003256)". The record is from RNAcentral. Lineage: Eukaryota; Viridiplantae; Streptophyta; Magnoliopsida; Fabales; Fabaceae.